RNAcentral lists this ribosomal RNA (1372 nucleotides) under uncultured bacterium. RNAcentral's name for it is "bacterial SSU rRNA". It matches the Rfam family "Bacterial small subunit ribosomal RNA", at positions 28 to 1381 of the family's 1533-position model. The record is from RNAcentral.
GAUAAACGCUGGCGGCGUGCCUAAUACAUGCAAGUCGAGCGAACGGACGAGAAGCUUGCUUCUCUGAUGUUAGCGGCGGACGGGUGAGUAACACGUGGAUAACCUACCUAUAAGACUGGGAUAACUUCGGGAAACCGGAGCUAAUACCGGAUAAUAUUUUGAACCGCAUGGUUCAAAAGUGAAAGACGGUCUUGCUGUCACUUAUAGAUGGAUCCGCGCUGCAUUAGCUAGUUGGUAAGGUAACGGCUUACCAAGGCAACGAUGCAUAGCCGACCUGAGAGGGUGAUCGGCCACACUGGAACUGAGACACGGUCCAGACUCCUACGGGAGGCAGCAGUAGGGAAUCUUCCGCAAUGGGCGAAAGCCUGACGGAGCAACGCCGCGUGAGUGAUGAAGGUCUUCGGAUCGUAAAACUCUGUUAUUGGGGAAGAACAUAUGUGUAAGUAACUGUGCACAUCUUGACGGUACCUAAUCAGAAAGCCACGGCUAACUACGUGCCAGCAGCCGCGGUAAUACGUAGGUGGCAAGCGUUAUCCGGAAUUAUUGGGCGUAAAGCGCGCGUAGGCGGUUUUUUAAGUCUGAUGUGAAAGCCCACGGCUCAACCGUGGAGGGUCAUUGGAAACUGGAAAACUUGAGUGCAGAAGAGGAAAGUGGAAUUCCAUGUGUAGCGGUGAAAUGCGCAGAGAUAUGGAGGAACACCAGUGGCGAAGGCGACUUUCUGGUCUGUAACUGACGCUGAUGUGCGAAAGCGUGGGGAUCAAACAGGAUUAGAUACCCUGGUAGUCCACGCCGUAAACGAUGAGUGCUAAGUGUUAGGGGGUUUCCGCCCCUUAGUGCUGCAGCUAACGCAUUAAGCACUCCGCCUGGGGAGUACGACCGCAAGGUUGAAACUCAAAGGAAUUGACGGGGACCCGCACAAGCGGUGGAGCAUGUGGUUUAAUUCGAAGCAACGCGAAGAACCUUACCAAAUCUUGACAUCCUUUGACAACUCUAGAGAUAGAGCCUUCCCCUUCGGGGGACAAAGUGACAGGUGGUGCAUGGUUGUCGUCAGCUCGUGUCGUGAGAUGUUGGGUUAAGUCCCGCAACGAGCGCAACCCUUAAGCUUAGUUGCCAUCAUUAAGUUGGGCACUCUAAGUUGACUGCCGGUGACAAACCGGAGGAAGGUGGGGAUGACGUCAAAUCAUCAUGCCCCUUAUGAUUUGGGCUACACACGUGCUACAAUGGACAAUACAAAGGGCAGCGAAACCGCGAGGUCAAGCAAAUCCCAUAAAGUUGUUCUCAGUUCGGAUUGUGGUCUGCAACUCGACUACAUGAAGCUGGAAUCGCUAGUAAUCGUAGAUCAGCAUGCUACGGUGAAUACGUUCCCGGGUCU